Molecule: ribosomal RNA, 338 nt
Filed under: uncultured Lactobacillus sp.
Lineage: Bacteria; Bacillati; Bacillota; Bacilli; Lactobacillales; Lactobacillaceae
Description: bacterial SSU rRNA
Rfam family: Bacterial small subunit ribosomal RNA
Source: RNAcentral
UGUUCUGCUAUCACUCUUGGAUGGACCUGCGGUGCAUUAGCUAGUUGGUAGGGGUAACGGGCCUACCAAGGCGAUGAUACAUAGCCCGAGUUGAGAGACUGAUCGGGCCACAUUGGGGACUGAGACACGGGCCAAACUCCUACGGGAGGCAGCAGUAGGGAAUCUUCCACAAUGGACGCAAGUCUGAUGGAGCAAACGCCGCGUGAGUGAAGAAGGGUUUCGGCUCGUAAAAAGCUCUGUUGUUGGUGAAGAAGGACAGGGGUAGUAACUGACCCUUUGUUUGACGGUAAUCAAUUAGAAAGUCACGGGCUAACUACGUGCCAGCAGCCGCGGUAAAU